GAUGAACGCUGGCGGCGUGCCUAAUACAUGCAAGUCGAGCGAACGGACGAGAAGCUUGCUUCUCUGAUGUUAGCGGCGGACGGGUGAGUAACACGUGGAUAACCUACCUAUAAGACUGGGAUAACUUCGGGAAACCGGAGCUAAUACCGGAUAAUAUUUUGAACCGCAUGGUUCAAUAGUGAAAGACGGUCUUGCUGUCACUUAUAGAUGGAUCCGCGCUGCAUUAGCUAGUUGGUAAGGUAACGGCUUACCAAGGCAACGAUGCAUAGCCGACCUGAGAGGGUGAUCGGCCACACUGGAACUGAGACACGGUCCAGACUCCUACGGGAGGCAGCAGUAGGGAAUCUUCCGCAAUGGGCGAAAGCCUGACGGAGCAACGCCGCGUGAGUGAUGAAGGUCUUCGGAUCGUAAAACUCUGUUAUUAGGGAAGAACAAAUGUGUAAGUAACUGUGCACGUCUUGACGGUACCUAAUCAGAAAGCCACGGCUAACUACGUG
This 497-nucleotide ribosomal RNA is filed under the name uncultured bacterium. RNAcentral's name for it is "partial 16S ribosomal RNA". It matches the Rfam family "Bacterial small subunit ribosomal RNA", at positions 28 to 507 of the family's 1533-position model. The record is from RNAcentral.